Molecule: ribosomal RNA, 252 nt
Filed under: uncultured bacterium
Lineage: Bacteria
Description: partial 16S ribosomal RNA
Rfam family: Bacterial small subunit ribosomal RNA
Source: RNAcentral
GCAAGUCGAGCGAGAACAGGACCUUCGGGUCCCUAUUAGAGCGGCUGACGGGUGAGUAACACGUGAAUAACGUACCUAGGAGUGGGGGAUAACUACCCGAAAGGGUGGCUAAUACCGCAUAAGACCACAACGCCUUCGGGCGAAGGGGUCAAAGGCUUCGGCCGCUCCUAGAUCGGUUCGCGGGCCAUUAGGUAGUUGGUGAGGUAAUGGCUCACCAAGCCCGAGAUGGCUAGCUGGUCUGAGAGGAUGAUC